Long non-coding RNA from Leptonychotes weddellii (Weddell seal), 457 nucleotides. RefSeq lists it as uncharacterized. NCBI's taxonomy places the organism in Eukaryota, Metazoa, Chordata, Mammalia, Carnivora, Phocidae. The record is from RefSeq and is a predicted model, not a curated record.
CUCUUUCAGGAUUCAGAACUGGAGAAACAAGAAAAGACCGUGUGUGAAAGCAGCAGCCGACACGGAGAGAGGCAGUAUUCAGACUUCAUGAGUAAGCAGAAGCUGUGAAUAAGCAAGAGCUCUGAGGGAACAAAAGCCACGAGGCAGCACAAAGAGACACAAAGUAACGACGGAAGUGAUAGAAGACAACUAAGAGAGCAUCAGAUUCUCAGGAGAAAGAGUCAGGGGCCAACCCUGGAGCCAGAGGGUCAGAGAGGUAGCAUCCCGGAGGCUCACAGAGGGAUCAGUGGAACAGUGUGGAUGCCCAGCUCCAAAGCCAUGCCUCUCUGAUUCAUGCUCAUUCCAUUCCACCAUGCCGUGCUCCAGAAGAGAAAGAAAAGCUUCUCUGCUCAGCUUCCAGUGCUCUUUCCACUGCACAAUGCUGCCUUCUCUAGAACUUGUUGCCUCGUUGGGAAAU